AUGUGAGACAUUUGAUCUGAGACGUUUGAAUGAGAGUGUGCAGGCUGCUCUCACUCCGAAGAACUUUCCUGCCCAGAUGAUCCAGCUUCCCCAAAACUCCUGCACAUAUGACAGCAAAGUGUGCACAAGAAGAGAGCAAUUUCCCUUUUUGAUAAUGCUCUUAGUCUUCAUUGGUCCCUGUAGCAAAUGAUUGUGGUUCUUUACACACUUCCUGUCUUGCUGGAAUUCAUCCCAUAAGAGGCUGAAUAAUCGCUUGUAGAAUGUUUUUAAGGAAAAAUGUCUCCACCUGAUCACUGAGUUUCCAUGAGCUUCACAGCUCACUGAAUCUCAUAAAAGUUAUUUAAAUGUAUGAAAAUUGUACUUAUGCCCUGACUGUUGUGCAAGAUCUUUGUUCUAGCUAGUGUGUCCUCUGCAUUAUGGAUCGUCUUAUAACAAACUUGAUGUCAAAACAGAGAGACACACAUUGUUUAUUCUCAGCCAAGAAAUCAGCUAUAACACUACUCUUGAAGAAUCUCCAUGUGUGUAACCAGAAUUAAAUUCCUCAUAUUAAGUGGUGCGGGGCCUCUCUGAAACACUGCAGACCGUUAGAAUCAGGUGUUUGGAAGAGAUAAGAAAUGGCAGUUGCAAACCAUGCCUUCCUCACAGGUGCAGAGAUUUAGCAAGACUGAGGAGGCAAAUCCAGACCAACACGCACCACCAGGGCAGCCAGCUGUGGAGGAGGCGCAAGGCGAAAGAUUGCCACUGUUUUGCACUGCAGCUGCUCACUGGUGUAGAUCUACUGUAUUACUCACUCUUAAGUUCCACCACUGUAAAUACAGAACUGCUUUGUUCAAGUCCCUGAGGCUUGAUGAGCCUGCUUUUGACACAGCCUGGAAAUGGAGAUCGAAGAGCAUUGUUAAUCGACAGAAAAGAUGUUACAGAGAUUGUCAGUUACCUUUUGCUGCUGAUACCCAUCAACUCUAA
RNAcentral lists this long non-coding RNA (963 nucleotides) under Numida meleagris (helmeted guineafowl). Its description in RNAcentral is "lncRNA (ENSNMEG00000000222.1)". Lineage: Eukaryota; Metazoa; Chordata; Aves; Galliformes; Numididae. The record is from RNAcentral.